AAUCCACAUGACUCUCGGCAACGGAUAUCUCGGCUCUCGCAUCGAUGAAGAACGUAGCGAAAUGCGAUACCUGGUGUGAAUUGCAGAAUCCCGCGAACCAUCGAGUCUUUGAACGCAAGUUGCGCCCGAGGCCAUUCGGCCGAGGGCACGCCUGCCUGGGCGUCACGC
This 168-nucleotide ribosomal RNA is filed under the name Phalaris aquatica (canary grass). Its description in RNAcentral is "5.8S ribosomal RNA". It matches the Rfam family "5.8S ribosomal RNA". From Rfam's summary of the family: 5.8S ribosomal RNA (5.8S rRNA) is a component of the large subunit of the eukaryotic ribosome. It is transcribed by RNA polymerase I as part of the 45S precursor that also contains 18S and 28S rRNA. The record is from RNAcentral. Lineage: Eukaryota; Viridiplantae; Streptophyta; Magnoliopsida; Poales; Poaceae.